UGGGGAAUAUUGCACAAUGGGGGAAACCCUGAUGCAGCGACGCCGCGUGAACGAAGAAGGUAUUCGUAUCGUAAAGUUCUGUCCUAUGGGAAGAUAAUGACAGUACCAUAGAAGAAAGCUCCGGCUAAAUACGUGUCAGCAGCCGCGGUAAUACGUAUGGAGCGAGCGUUGUCCGGAAUUAUUGGGCGUAAAGGGUACGCAGGCGGUUUAAUAAGUCGAAUGUUAAAGAUCGGGGCUCAACCCCGUAAAGCAUUGGAAACUGAUAAACUUGAGUAGUGGAGAGGAAAGUGGAAUUCCUAGUGUAGUGGUGAAAUACGUAGAUAUUAGGAGGAAUACCAGUAGCGAAGGCGACUUUCUGGACACAAACUGACGCUGAGGUACGAAAGCGUGGGGAGCAAACAGG
RNAcentral lists this ribosomal RNA (403 nucleotides) under bacterium. RNAcentral's name for it is "partial 16S ribosomal RNA". It matches the Rfam family "Bacterial small subunit ribosomal RNA", at positions 355 to 776 of the family's 1533-position model. The record is from RNAcentral.